CACGUGUUACAAUGGCAGGUACAGAGGGGUGCUACCGGGUGACCGGAUGCCGAUCUCGAAAACCUGUCCCAGUUCGGACUGGAGUCUGCAACCCGACUCCACGAAGUUGGAUUCGCUAGUAAUCGCGCAUCAGCCAUGGCGCGGUGAAUACGUUCCCGGGCCUUGUACACACCGCCCGUCAAGCCAUGGGAGCCGGGGGCGCCUGAAGUCCGGGACCGCGAGGACCGGCCUAGGGCGAAACUGGUGACUGGGGCUAAGUCGUAACAAGGUAAC
Molecule: ribosomal RNA, 273 nt
Filed under: uncultured bacterium
Lineage: Bacteria
Description: partial 16S ribosomal RNA
Rfam family: Bacterial small subunit ribosomal RNA
Source: RNAcentral